CCAAGUUGAGGCUGAACUAAGACUUGAAAAAUAUUUUGCUUCUCCACUAUCCCUCUGAAUGACCUUUGGCAAAUCUGACCUCAGUGCAUCUGUUCAACAGAAGCAGUAUGAAGAGUCCCAGGAGUGGGAGAGCACAACCUCCGUGGAGAUAGUACAUCAGAUACGAAUUGGGAAGAUAAUCUGCUCCACCUUGCAUCAUCAUCUGGAAUAGAACAGCCCUCUGUUUGAAAGAGUCUUGGCAUUCCAAGUAGCAGAAGACAAAUCCCCUGUGACAGACUUGAGGAACUUUAUUCACAGCAGCAAUCCCGACAGAGGAAGAAAGACACACCUAAGGAAAGCUGCAUUGGUGCAGGAGGUUUGCCAGAACGUGAGCUUUGCACUGGGAGAGAGCUCCAGCAAUGUGCUAUUCUUAGCCUCUUACAGGGGUUGGACUGUGUAACUUUUAAUUGAUAAAAUCAUACUGGCUUUCAGUACAGCUUUGGAUUUCUGCCUAUCAUGUUUGCAUUGCAAAUGAGCAGUAAGGGCUUAUGCAAAAUAGAAGCACCAUAUACCAAAUAAAAGUAAACCACCUAGAUAUGGUCUACUGAAAAAAAAAAUCUAAAAAGAGGUAGUUAUUAUUAUCCAUAUCCCACUUGUGCUGGAAUGGGAAAAAUAAAUCAGAUAAGGAAGACUUUGUUAUGAAGCCUAAAUGUGCAAGAGGAUUUCUCGGGUAA
Molecule: long non-coding RNA, 713 nt
Organism: Melopsittacus undulatus (budgerigar)
Lineage: Eukaryota; Metazoa; Chordata; Aves; Psittaciformes; Psittaculidae
Exons: 3
Source: RefSeq, a predicted model, not a curated record